CAGGGGAAACAACACAGGUGUUCAUCAGUUAAUGAAUGAAAAGAUGAACAUAGAUAUGAAAAUUAUUAAUAAAAUAUUGACAAAUUACCUGAAAAAACACAUUUAAAAGAUAGUGUACCGGGCUAGGUUUGUGGCUCAAGUGGUAGAGUGCUCUCUUAGCAUAUGUGAGGCACUGGGUUCGAUCCUCAGCACCACAUAAAAAUAAAAUAAAAAGAUUUUAUCCACCUAAAACUAAAAAAUAAAUAUUUUUUAAAAAAGAGUACCAUAAUCAAUUGGUUAUCAGCCCAGAGAUACAAUCACUAAAUGUAGUUCACCACAAUAAAACAGACUUACAGAUAAGAAUCACAUCAUUAUCUCAUUAGAUGCAGAAAAAGCAUUUAACAAAGUUUAGUACUCACUGAUGUUUAAAACAGUAGAAAAACUAGGAAUAGAAGGCACUUAGCUCAACAUUGUACAGGCUAUAUAUGACAAACCCAAGGCAAACAUUAUUCUGAAUAGAGAAAGACAAAGUAUUUGCUUUAAAAACAGGAACAAGGAGAGGAAUGAACUAUUUCAUGCAAAUGGACACCAAAAGAAAGCAGGAGUAGCCAUACUAAUAUCAGAUAAAAUGACUUUAAAUCAAAACCAGUAAAAAGAGACAAUGAGGAUUAUUAUAUAAUGAUUAAGGUGUCAAUUCAGCAAGAGCAAAUCUUUAAAAAUAUAUGUGUGUGUAUAUGUAUAUAUAUCCAAUAUUAUAACACUCAAAUAAAGCAACUAUUAACAGACCUAAAGGUCAAACCAAUACAAUCCAUAGCUAGGGACUUUAACAUUGGACAAAUUAUCCAGACAGAAAAUCAACGAAGAAACGGUUAAAUUGCACCCAGUACCAAAGAGACCUAACAGAACAUGCUAUCCAACAGUUAGAGAAUGCAAAACUUUCUUAUUAGCAUAUGGAACGUUUUUCAGGAUAGAUCAUAUGGCAGUCCACAAAACAAGUUGCAGCAUAUUUUUUAAAAAAAUGAAAUCAUAUUGAGUGUCUUUUCUGAUCACAAUGCAAUAAAUAUAAAAAUCAAUAACAGAAAAAUCUUUGGAAACUAUAUAAAUACAUGGAAGAACUCAAAAAAGAAAUUUAAAAAUAAUUUUUGCCAGUGUAGUUAGUUCAGAACAUGCUUGUGUUUGUGUAUCAGAAUCAAGACUCAUAAGCAACCCAGCAUAUUUAAACCAUGAAAUGAUGAAAAUACUUUUUGAAACAUAACACUGGUCUCUCUCCCUCUUACAUUUUUAAAUAUAAGCCCUCAUUUUCUAUUUAAAUCAACUUCAAUGUGCAGUUCUACAGGCUAGAUAUUUGAAAAUCAGUGGUCAAGCUAAAAUGCUUUGAAUGGAAUAAACUAAAUUUCUGUAAACCAUGUAUCUGUUAAAUGUUUUACACAUUGUCUUUUAUAAUGUUUAUUUUGGGGGAUAUUGGUGGUUGAACCCAUGGCACUUAACCACUGAGUCACAUCUCCAGCCCUUUUUAUUUUUUGAGACAGUGUCUCGCUGAAUUGCCGAGGCUGUUCUUGAACUUUUGAUCCUCCUGUUUCAUCCUCCUGAGCUCCUGGGAUCACAGGCAUGCGCCACCAUUCC
RNAcentral lists this long non-coding RNA (1602 nucleotides) under Marmota monax (woodchuck). Lineage: Eukaryota; Metazoa; Chordata; Mammalia; Rodentia; Sciuridae. The record is from RNAcentral.